GACGAACGCUGGCGGCGUGCUUAACACAUGCAAGUCGAACGGAAAGGCCCUGCUUUUGUGGGGUGCUCGAGUGGCGAACGGGUGUGUAACACGUGAGUAACCUGCCCUUGACUUUGGGAUAACUUCAGGAAACUUGGGCUAAUACCGGAUAGGAGCUCCUGCUGCAUGGUGGGUGUUGGAAAGUUUCGGCGGUUGGGGAUGGACUCGCGGCUUAUCAGCUUGUUGGUGGGGUAGUGGCUUACCAAGGCUUUGACGGGUAGCCGGCCUGAGAGGGUGACCGGCCACAUUGGGACUGCGAUACGGCCCAGACUCCUACGGGAGGCAGCAGUGGGGAAUAUUGCAGAAUGGGCGGAAGCCUGAUGCAGCAACGCCGCGUGCGGGAUGACGGCCUUCGGGUUGUAAACCGCUUUCGCCUGUGACGAAGCGUAAGUGACGGUAAUGGGUAAAGAAGCAACGGCUAACUACGUG
RNAcentral lists this ribosomal RNA (468 nucleotides) under uncultured bacterium. RNAcentral describes it as "partial 16S ribosomal RNA". It matches the Rfam family "Bacterial small subunit ribosomal RNA", at positions 28 to 507 of the family's 1533-position model. The record is from RNAcentral.